RNAcentral lists this ribosomal RNA (484 nucleotides) under uncultured bacterium. RNAcentral describes it as "partial 16S ribosomal RNA". It matches the Rfam family "Bacterial small subunit ribosomal RNA", at positions 30 to 507 of the family's 1533-position model. The record is from RNAcentral.
AUUGAACGCUGGCGGCAGGCCUAACACAUGCAAGUCGAGCGGAUGAAGGGAGCUUGCUCCUGGAUUCAGCGGCGGACGGGUGAGUAAUGCCUAGGAAUCUGCCUGGUAGUGGGGGAUAACGUCCGGAAACGGGCGCUAAUACCGCAUACGUCCUGAGGGAGAAAGUGGGGGAUCUUCGGACCUCACGCUAUCAGAUGAGCCUAGGUCGGAUUAGCUAGUUGGUGGGGUAAAGGCCUACCAAGGCGACGAUCCGUAACUGGUCUGAGAGGAUGAUCAGUCACACUGGAACUGAGACACGGUCCAGACUCCUACGGGAGGCGGCAGUGGGGAAUAUUGGACAAUGGGCGAAAGCCUGAUCCAGCCAUGCCGCGUGUGUGAAGGAGGUCUUCGGAUUGUAAAGCACUUUAAGUUGGGAGGAAGGGCAGUAAGUUAAUACCUUGCUGUUUUGACGUUACCAACAGAAUAAGCACCGGCUAACUUCGUG